RNAcentral lists this ribosomal RNA (253 nucleotides) under uncultured bacterium. RNAcentral describes it as "partial 16S ribosomal RNA". It matches the Rfam family "Bacterial small subunit ribosomal RNA", at positions 524 to 776 of the family's 1533-position model. The record is from RNAcentral.
UACGUAGGGGGCUAGCGUUGUCCGGAUUUAUUGGGCGUAAAGAGCGCGUAGGCGGCCGAGUAAGUCCGACGUGAAAUCUGGAGGCUCAACCUCCAGCGGUCGUUGGAAACUACUCGGCUAGAGUCCGGAAGAGGAGAGUGGAAUUCCUGGUGUAGCGGUGAAAUGCGCAGAUAUCAGGAAGAACACCGAUGGCGAAGGCGGCUCUCUGGGACGGUACUGACGCUGAGACGCGAAAGCGUGGGGAGCGAACAGG